UAGGGAAUCUUCCGCAAUGGGCGAAAGCCUGACGGAGCAACGCCGCGUGAGUGAUGAAGGUCUUCGGAUCGUAAAACUCUGUUAUUAGGGAAUAACAAAUGUGUAAGUAACUAUGCACGUCUUGACGGUACCUAAUCAGAAAGCCACGGCUAACUACGUGCCAGCAGCCGCGGUAAUACGUAGGUGGCAAGCGUUAUCCGGAAUUAUUGGGCGUAAAGCGCGCGUAGGCGGUUUUUUAAGUCUGAUGUGAAAGCCCACGGCUCAACCGGGGAGGGUUAUUGGAAACUGGAAAACCUGAGUGCAGAAGAGAAAAGUGGAAUUCCAUGUGUAGCGGUGAAAUGCGCAGAGAUAUGGAGGAACACCAGUGGCGAAGGCGACUUUCUGGUCUGUAACUGACGAUGAUGUGCGAAAGCGUGGGGAUCAAACAGG
RNAcentral lists this ribosomal RNA (429 nucleotides) under Actinomycetes bacterium. Its description in RNAcentral is "Actinobacteria bacterium partial 16S ribosomal RNA". It matches the Rfam family "Bacterial small subunit ribosomal RNA", at positions 355 to 776 of the family's 1533-position model. The record is from RNAcentral. Lineage: Bacteria; Bacillati; Actinomycetota; Actinomycetes.